RNAcentral lists this ribosomal RNA (605 nucleotides) under uncultured bacterium. RNAcentral describes it as "bacterial SSU rRNA". It matches the Rfam family "Bacterial small subunit ribosomal RNA", at positions 338 to 950 of the family's 1533-position model. The record is from RNAcentral.
CCUACGGGAGGCAGCAGUAGGGAAUAUUGGGCAAUGGAGGCAACUCUGACCCAGCCAUGCCGCGUGCAGGAAGAAGGCGUUAUGCGUUGUAAACUGCUUUUAUAUAGGAAGAAAUAGACCUUGCGAGGUAAGUUGACGGUACUAUAUGAAUAAGCACCGGCUAACUCCGUGCCAGCAGCCGCGGUAAUACGGAGGGUGCAAGCGUUGUCCGGAUUUAUUGGGUUUAAAGGGUGCGUAGGCGGUUUAUUAAGUCAGUGGUGAAAGACGGUCGCUCAACGAUUGCAGUGCCAUUGAUACUGGUAGACUUGAGUGGGAUUGAGGUAGCUGGAAUGGAUAGUGUAGCGGUGAAAUGCAUAGAUAUUAUCCAGAACACCAAUUGCGUAGGCAAGUUACUAAGUCUCAACUGACGCUGAGGCACGAAAGUGUGGGUAUCAAACAGGAUUAGAUACCCUGGUAGUCCACACUGUAAACGAUGAUAACUAACUGUUGGCUUUCGGAUUCAGUGGUACAGAGAAAUCGUUAAGUUAUCCACCUGGGGAGUACGCCGGCAACGGUGAAACUUAANAGAGUAGCGAGNGAGAGAGCGACGAGACACAGGGAGGAGG